This 554-nucleotide ribosomal RNA is filed under the name Bifidobacterium adolescentis. Its description in RNAcentral is "bacterial SSU rRNA". It matches the Rfam family "Bacterial small subunit ribosomal RNA", at positions 146 to 711 of the family's 1533-position model. The record is from RNAcentral. Lineage: Bacteria; Bacillati; Actinomycetota; Actinomycetes; Bifidobacteriales; Bifidobacteriaceae.
UCUCCUGGAAACGGGUGGUAAUGCCGGAUGCUCCAGUUGGAUGCAUGUCCUUUUGGAAAGAUUCAUCGGUAUGGGAUGGGGUCGCGUCCUAUCAGCUUGAUGGCGGGGUAACGGCCCACCAUGGCUUCGACGGGUAGCCGGCCUGAGAGGGCGACCGGCCACAUUGGGACUGAGAUACGGCCCAGACUCCUACGGGAGGCAGCAGUGGGGAAUAUUGCACAAUGGGCGCAAGCCUGAUGCAGCGACGCCGCGUGCGGGAUGACGGCCUUCGGGUUGUAAACCGCUUUUGACUGGGAGCAAGCCCUUCGGGGUGAGUGUACCUUUCGAAUAAGCACCGGCUAACUACGUGCCAGCAGCCGCGGUAAUACGUAGGGUGCAAGCGUUAUCCGGAAUUAUUGGGCGUAAAGGGCUCGUAGGCGGUUCGUCGCGUCCGGUGUGAAAGUCCAUCGCUUAACGGUGGAUCCGCGCCGGGUACGGGCGGGCUUGAGUGCGGUAGGGGAGACUGGAAUUCCCGGUGUAACGGUGGAAUGUGUAGAUAUCGGGAAAGAACACCA